AGGACGAACGCUGGCGGCGUGCUUAACACAUGCAAGUCGAGCGGUAAGGCCUUUCGGGGUACACGAGCGGCGAACGGGUGAGUAACACGUGGGUGAUCUGCCCUGCACUUCGGGAUAAGCCUGGGGAAACGGGGUCUAAUACCGGAUAUGACUGCGCCAUGCAUGUGGUGUGGUGGAAAGUUCUGGCGAUGAGGGAUGAGCUCGCGGCCUAU
This 212-nucleotide ribosomal RNA is filed under the name uncultured soil bacterium. RNAcentral's name for it is "partial 16S ribosomal RNA". It matches the Rfam family "Bacterial small subunit ribosomal RNA", at positions 26 to 241 of the family's 1533-position model. The record is from RNAcentral.